This 379-nucleotide unclassified non-coding RNA is filed under the name Hevea brasiliensis (rubber tree). The record is from RNAcentral. Lineage: Eukaryota; Viridiplantae; Streptophyta; Magnoliopsida; Malpighiales; Euphorbiaceae.
GUAGGGGGAAGGAACAUUUACAUUACACAGAAACCAAAACUUCCCAAAUAGAUAUUCUCAAUUACAUAAUUUACAAGUAACAAUAGUAGUGAACGUGUUUCGACUGGGACAUGUGCAGAACUCCAAUCAUAUUUGCAAAGUGAAACUCAAGUUUGCAACAAACAAAGCAAUAAGCCAAUAGAACUUUAGUUUAAAUAUAGGAAAACAUUUGUACACAAAAUACACAUGCUUCAUUUUCAUUUAUUCUUAUUUGAUUGUUGGUUUGGCUACUGGAGUUGAUUCUUGGGCAGCUUGACCCAUUUCACUUUCACACAACAAAAAGAAAAAAAAUUCUAUACUGUUUAGCGUACAUAAUAAAUAACUACAGAAUGAAUAAAAU